This 291-nucleotide long non-coding RNA is filed under the name Oryza brachyantha (malo sina). RNAcentral describes it as "long non-coding RNA (OBRA_LNC003256)". Lineage: Eukaryota; Viridiplantae; Streptophyta; Magnoliopsida; Poales; Poaceae. The record is from RNAcentral.
AUCGUGGAAUGUUGAACUUCGAGGCGCCGUAUCAAAUUACAAUCCUCCCAUUCCUGAUAACUUUCUAUCCUAUAUGUAUCUUCUAGGUAAAAUCAUGUAUUUUCUUUGAGGUGAUCAAGUUCAUGGGGUAAUUAUAGCGAGAUAUCAAAGCCAGCUGUCCAUCUUGCAUCGGCCUGAUAUAUCAAAGAAUCAAGCAUAAGAACUCAGUAAUCACCAACACACCAACAGGCUUUGGACUGAUAGAAUAUCUGAUGCAAACUCAGAUUUCUGCGGUAUGAGGACAUCCUCAAU